This 377-nucleotide ribosomal RNA is filed under the name uncultured bacterium. RNAcentral's name for it is "bacterial SSU rRNA". It matches the Rfam family "Bacterial small subunit ribosomal RNA", at positions 1013 to 1388 of the family's 1533-position model. The record is from RNAcentral.
CUUCUCUUCGGAGCAUCGGAGUGACAGGUGGUGCAUGGUUGUCGUCAGCUCGUGUCGUGAGAUGUUGGGUUAAGUCCCGCAACGAGCGCAACCCUUAUCUUUAGUAGCCAGCGGUUAGGCCGGGCACUCUAGGGAGACUGCCAGGGAUAACCUGGAGGAAGGGGGGGAUGACGUCAAAUCAUCAUGCCCCUUAUGACUUGGGCUACCCCCGUGCUACAAUGGCGUAAACAAAGGGAAGCAAACCUGGGAGGCCGAGCAAAUCUCAAAAAUAACGUCUCAUUUCGGAUUGUAGUCUGCAACCCGACUACACGAAGCUGGAAUCGCUAGUAAUCGCAAAUCAAAAUGCUGCGGUGAAUACGUUCCCGGGUCUUGUACAC